Telopea speciosissima is the source of this 203-nucleotide long non-coding RNA. RefSeq lists it as uncharacterized. The record is from RefSeq and is a predicted model, not a curated record. Lineage: Eukaryota; Viridiplantae; Streptophyta; Magnoliopsida; Proteales; Proteaceae. The transcript is spliced from 3 exons.
CUUGAUUUUUUGGUAAGUCUAGGGAUUCUGGGUUGAGAUUUUAGAGUCGGGAGAGAACACCCCAGCAGGUCGAACUCAAUUCAGUCUCGCAUGGACUCCAUAGAACCUCUGAUCGCUCACAUUCAAGGGCUUUCGAGUAGUGUCGAUGAUAUCUCUCAUCUUCACAACCUCCUAAAACAGGCCGAGGAAUCUCUCCAAUCUCA